Molecule: ribosomal RNA, 440 nt
Filed under: uncultured bacterium
Lineage: Bacteria
Description: partial 16S ribosomal RNA
Rfam family: Bacterial small subunit ribosomal RNA
Source: RNAcentral
CCUACGGGUGGCAGCAGUGGGGGAUAUUGCACAAUGGGGGGAACCCUGAUGCAGCGACGCCGCGUGGGUGAAGAAGCGCCUCGGCGCGUAAAGCCCUGUCAGCAGGGAAGAAAGUGAAGGUACCUGAAGAAGAAGCCACGGCUAACUACGUGCCAGCAGCCGCGGUAAUACGGAGGGGGCAAGCGUGAGCCGGAUUUACUGGUGGUAACGGGUGCGCAGACGGCGAGGCAAGCCAGGCGUGAAAGCCCGGGGCCCAACCCCGGGACUGCUCUUGGAACUGCGUGGCUGGAGUGCAGGAGGGGCAGGCGGAAUUCCUGGUGUAGCGGUGAAAUGCGGAGAUAUCAGGAGGAACAGCGGUGGCGAAGGCGGCCUGCUGGACUGCAACUGACGUUGAGGCGCGAAAGCGUGGGGAGCAAACAGGAUUAGAUACCCUUGUAGUC